RNAcentral lists this ribosomal RNA (344 nucleotides) under uncultured Streptococcus sp. RNAcentral's name for it is "bacterial SSU rRNA". It matches the Rfam family "Bacterial small subunit ribosomal RNA", at positions 1036 to 1382 of the family's 1533-position model. The record is from RNAcentral. Lineage: Bacteria; Bacillati; Bacillota; Bacilli; Lactobacillales; Streptococcaceae.
AGGUGGUGCAUUGGUUGUCGUCAGCUCGUGUCGUGAGAUGUUGGUUAAGUCCCGCAACGAGCGCAACCCCUAUUGUUAGUUGCCAUCAUUCAGUUGGGCACUCUAGCGAGACUGCCGGUAAUAAACCGGAGGAAGGUGGGAUGACGUCAAAUCAUCAUGCCCCUUAUGACCUGGGCUACACACGUGCUACAAUGGUUGGUACAACGAGUUGCGAGUCGGUGACGGCGAGCUAAUCUCUUAAAGCCAAUCUCAGUUCGGAUUGUAGGCUGCAACUCGCCUACAUGAAGUCGGAAUCGCUAGUAAUCGCGGAUCAGCACGCCGCGGUGAAUACGUUCCCGGGCCUU